UACGAAGGUGGCAAGCGUUGUUCGGAUUUACUGGGCGUAAAGGGAGCGUAGGUGGUUAGGUAAGCCCUCCGGGAAAUCUUCAGGCUUAACCUGAAAAGGUCGGGGGGGACUGCCUGGCUAGAGGACGGGAGAGGAGCGCGGAAUUCCCGGUGUAGCGGUGAAAUGCGUAGAGAUCGGGAGGAACACCUGCGGUGUAGACGGCUUUCUGGACCAUUGUUGACGCUGAGACACGAAAGCGUGGGUAGCAAACAGG
Molecule: ribosomal RNA, 253 nt
Filed under: uncultured bacterium
Lineage: Bacteria
Description: partial 16S ribosomal RNA
Rfam family: Bacterial small subunit ribosomal RNA
Source: RNAcentral